UACCAGGGAUGCAAGCGUCAUCCGGAAUUAUUGGGCGUAAAGCGUUUGUAGGCGGGCGAGUGUGUUUAAUGUUAAAUCUUAAAGCUCAACUUUGAAAUUGCGUUAAAAACUGCUUGUCUUGAGUAUGGUAGGGGUAAAGGGAAUUCCCAGUGUAGCGGUGAAAUGCGUAGAUAUUGGGAAGAACACUAAACAGCGAAGGCACUUUACUAGGCUAAUACUGACGCUGAGAAACGAAAGGUAAGGUAGCGAAACGGAUUAGAUACCCGUGUAGUCUUACCCGUAAACUAUGGACACUAAACGGUAAAUUUUUAAUUUACUGUUAAAGCUAACGCGUUAAGUGUCCCGCCUGGGGAGUAUGCUUGCAAAAGUGAAACUCAAAGGAAUUGACGGGGGCCCGCACAAGCGGUGGAGCAUGUGGUUUAAUUCGACGGUACACGAAGAACCUUACCAGGAUUUGACAUGCUAGAUAGUUGCUUGAAAGAGUAACGUGCCGUAAGGAAUCUAGACACAGGUGGUGCAUGGCUGUCGUCAGUUCGUGUUGUGAAAUGUUGGGUUAAGUCCCGCAACGAACGCAACCCUUGUCUUUAGUUAUUUUCUAAAGAGACUGCCUGUAAUAAACAGGAGGAAGGUAAGGAUGAGGUCAAGUCAUCAUGCCCCUUAUGUCCUGGGCUACACACGUGCUACAAUGGGAAAGACAAUGAGCUGCAAAUCUGUAAAUUUAAGCAAAUCUCUUAAACUUUCUCGUAGUUCGGAUUGUGGGCUGCAACUCGCCCACAUGAAGUUGGAAUCGCUAGUAAUCGCCAGUCAGCUAUAUGGCGGUGAAUCCGUUCCCGGGCCU
Molecule: ribosomal RNA, 838 nt
Filed under: uncultured bacterium
Lineage: Bacteria
Description: bacterial SSU rRNA
Rfam family: Bacterial small subunit ribosomal RNA
Source: RNAcentral